GACGAACGCUGGCGGCGUGCCUAAUACAUGCAAGUAGAACGCUGAAGGAGGAGCUUGCUUCUCUGGAUGAGUUGCGAACGGGUGAGUAACGCGUAGGUAACCUGCCUGGUAGCGGGGGAUAACUAUUGGAAACGAUAGCUAAUACCGCAUAAGAUUGACUAUUGCAUGAUAGUCAGUUAAAAGGUGCAAUUGCAUCACUACCAGAUGGACCUGCGUUGUAUUAGCUAGUUGGUGGGGUAACGGCUCACCAAGGCGACGAUACAUAGCCGACCUGAGAGGGUGAUCGGCCACACUGGGACUGAGACACGGCCCAGACUCCUACGGGAGGCAGCAGUAGGGAAUCUUCGGCAAUGGACGGAAGUCUGACCGAGCAACGCCGCGUGAGUGAAGAAGGUUUUUGGAUCGUAAAGCUCUGUUGUAGGAGAAGAACGAGUGUGAGAGUGGAAAGUUCACACUGUGACGGUAUCUUACCAGAAAGGGACGGCUAACUACGUG
Molecule: ribosomal RNA, 495 nt
Filed under: uncultured bacterium
Lineage: Bacteria
Description: partial 16S ribosomal RNA
Rfam family: Bacterial small subunit ribosomal RNA
Source: RNAcentral